Molecule: small RNA, 32 nt
Filed under: Arabidopsis thaliana (thale cress)
Lineage: Eukaryota; Viridiplantae; Streptophyta; Magnoliopsida; Brassicales; Brassicaceae
Description: ATSL137900
Source: RNAcentral
AUGGAUUAUUAUGACCAAAACCAAAAAAAAAC